AAACCAACCGGGAUUGCCUUAGUAACGGCGAGUGAAGCGGCAAAAAGCUCAAAUUUGAAAUCUGGUACCUUCGGUGCCCGAGUUGUAAUUUGGAGAGGGCAACUUUGGGGCCGUUCCUUGUCUAUGUUCCUUGGAACAGGACGUCAUAGAGGGUGAGAAUCCCGUGUGGCGAGGAGUGCGGUUCUUUGUAAAGUGCCUUCGAAGAGUCGAGUUGUUUGGGAAUGCAGCUCUAAGUGGGUGGUAUAUUCCAUCUAAAGCUAAAUAUUGGCGAGAGACCGAUAGCGAACAAGUACAGUGAUGGAAAGAUGAAAAGAACUUUGAAAAGAGAGUGAAAAAGUACGUGAAAUUGUUGAAAGGGAAGGGCAUUUGAUCAGACAUGGUGUUUUGUGCCCUCUGCUCCUUGUGGGUAGGGGAAUCUCGCAUUUCACUGGGCCAGCAUCAGUUUGGUGGCAGGAUAAAUCCAUAGGAAUGUAGCUUGCCUCGGUAAGUAUUAUAGCCUGUGGGAAUACUGCC
RNAcentral lists this ribosomal RNA (513 nucleotides) under uncultured Saccharomyces. RNAcentral's name for it is "eukaryotic LSU rRNA". It matches the Rfam family "Eukaryotic large subunit ribosomal RNA", at positions 62 to 578 of the family's 3401-position model. Lineage: Eukaryota; Fungi; Ascomycota; Saccharomycetes; Saccharomycetales; Saccharomycetaceae. The record is from RNAcentral.